GAUGAACGCUGGCGGCGUGCUUAACACAUGCAAGUCGAACGGAAAGGCCCAAGCUUGCUUGGGUACUCGAGUGGCGAACGGGUGAGUAACACGUGGGUGAUCUGCCCUGCACUUCGGGAUAAGCCUGGGAAACUGGGUCUAAUACCGGAUAGGACCACUUCUUGGAUGUUGUGGUGGAAAGUUUUUUCGGUGUGGGAUGAGCUCGCGGCCUAUCAGCUUGUUGGUGGGGUAAUGGCCUACCAAGGCGUCGACGGGUAGCCGGCCUGAGAGGGUGUACGGCCACAUUGGGACUGAGAUACGGCCCAGACUCCUACGGGAGGUAGCGGUGGGGAAUAUUGCACAAUGGGCGCAAGCCUGAUGCAGCGACGCCGCGUGGGGGAUGACGGCCUUCGGGUUGUAAACUCCUUUCGCUAGGGACGAAGCGUUUUGUGACGGUACCUGGAGAAGAAGCACCGGCUAACUACGUG
This 467-nucleotide ribosomal RNA is filed under the name uncultured bacterium. RNAcentral describes it as "partial 16S ribosomal RNA". It matches the Rfam family "Bacterial small subunit ribosomal RNA", at positions 28 to 507 of the family's 1533-position model. The record is from RNAcentral.